RNAcentral lists this transfer RNA (84 nucleotides) under Caudoviricetes sp. RNAcentral's name for it is "tRNA-Tyr". It matches the Rfam family "tRNA". From Rfam's summary of the family: Transfer RNA (tRNA) molecules are approximately 80 nucleotides in length. Their secondary structure includes four short double-helical elements and three loops (D, anti-codon, and T loops). Lineage: Duplodnaviria; Heunggongvirae; Uroviricota; Caudoviricetes. The record is from RNAcentral.
GGGGAGAUAGAUCGUAAUUGGUAGCGUGGCGGACUGUAAAUCCGUUGUCUUUAGACCUUGCUGGUUCAAGCCCAGUUCUCCUCA